Long non-coding RNA from Gallus gallus (chicken), 758 nucleotides. The record is from Ensembl. Lineage: Eukaryota; Metazoa; Chordata; Aves; Galliformes; Phasianidae.
CCAAAAGCCACCUGGAAGGCACAGGAGCCAGAGUUUAUUACACUCAAUCACAAACAGAACGUAUGAAUUUCAUCCAACAUGCACUGCUAAGCAGACCCACUGAGGAAGAGGGAGAGAGUGCAGAGGGAGCUGCAGAAUACCAGCAGAAAAUUAAGCCUCCUCUUAGCUGGCAGUCAUGGCAAGAAGGCGACACUGUGGAGAGGGGCAAUGCAGCCAUGCACCCACACGGCCUUUGCCUGCCCAGCACCAGAAGCCUGUGGGGUGACACUCAAAAAGCAUCACAGAACAUCGGUCUCCAAGAGGCUCCUGAGGCUGUGCAGCCAUCCCAGCGUGGUAUCAACUCCAUCGAAGCGGUGAGCAGAGAGGCUGAGGCACAGCCCCAACCCUACGGAGCCGGUGGGAGGUUUGCUGUUGACCUGGGACUCGUUGGGUUUAAACGCUCAGAGGGAUGUCAGGUGGAAGAGAACUUCGCACGCCUCCCCUGGAAGGAAGGGCGGCUGAGACGCAACGAUCCCCAUUAGCAAAGCUCCGCUCUCCGUGCUUUUUAAAGGCUAAUCCUUCCAGACGGAGCUCACAUCCAUCUCGCAUAGCAAAGCGCUCUGCAGGGCAGCGCCGAUCAGCACUGGAGGCAGCGGGUGGGAGGGCGGUGUGGGAUGCGCCGCGACAGCCCCGUGUGAUGCUCACCCAGAUGUGUGCCGCUCCCCAUGGCAGCCGCUGGGGCCUCCAGGAGCUCAGGUGCUGCUCUUCCAAAUCCAAAA